This 77-nucleotide transfer RNA is filed under the name Bacteroidetes bacterium ADurb.Bin302. RNAcentral's name for it is "tRNA-Gln". It matches the Rfam family "tRNA". Rfam says of the family: Transfer RNA (tRNA) molecules are approximately 80 nucleotides in length. Lineage: Bacteria; Pseudomonadati; Bacteroidota. The record is from RNAcentral.
UAGUUCCGUAGUUUAGAGGCCAAUAAUACCGGACUUUGACUCCGGUGACACCAGUUCGAAUCUGGUCGGAACUAUCC